GUCCACGCCGUAAACGUUGGGCACUAGGUGUGGGACCCUAUCGACGGGUUCCGUGCCGUAGCUAACGCAUUAAGUGCCCCGCCUGGGGAGUACGGCCGCAAGGCUAAAACUCAAAGGAAUUGACGGGGGCCCGCACAAGCGGCGGAGCGUGUGGCUUAAUUCGAUGCAACGCGAAGAACCUUACCUGGGCUUGACAUUUUCGGUAAAGCGGGUGAAAGCCCGUGUGCUUCGGCGCCGAAAACAGGUGGUGCAUGGCUGUCGU
RNAcentral lists this ribosomal RNA (262 nucleotides) under uncultured bacterium. Its description in RNAcentral is "partial 16S ribosomal RNA". It matches the Rfam family "Bacterial small subunit ribosomal RNA", at positions 793 to 1055 of the family's 1533-position model. The record is from RNAcentral.